Molecule: long non-coding RNA, 1311 nt
Organism: Plodia interpunctella (Indianmeal moth)
Lineage: Eukaryota; Metazoa; Arthropoda; Insecta; Lepidoptera; Pyralidae
Exons: 3
Source: RefSeq, a predicted model, not a curated record
GUUUUUCUGGAACUUGUUUUUCCGAACUUCAACCGGAAUACUUUCUUUGUAUAACGCACUGAAAACAAUAAAUUUUGAGAAACCUGAACUGAAUACUGAAUCAAUGCUAUUAACGGUUAAUGCCGUCCUGAUUAUAUUUUACCUUUUCGCGCCAAUUUAUUCAGCUAAUAAAUUAUCGUCACAAGUAAAUAAGUUGAAGAUCUAUUUGUUGAAUAGACUUAUGCAAGACAGAGACAAGAAUCACUUCGCUGCUCUGGAGAAGUUUGUCUGCUACAUCGACGCUCGGCCCUUUAAAUAUACCAUAGCUGACGUCAUACCCUUAGACUGGACACUAGUGUCUACUGUCCUAAAUGUAUUAAUUACUUACAUUAUUGUUUUCUUGCAAUUAUCUAGGAAGAGUUAAUACAUUCAAUAACAGGUUUAUUAAGUGUAGGUUUCAUGGUAUGAUUGUAAUUGUAUUUGUUUACUUGUUACGUUUAAACUCACUUUCCAUAAACGUCAUCUUGCCGGGUUAACAACGCUAACCCGGUUUUUGUAUGUUUCGGUCGUCACUAUCGCGACACAUUGCAAUAUUUGACAUUGACAGAACGAAACAUAUACAAUCUAGGUACCUACUAUCUGUAUGUCUUAUAUUUUAGGUUACACACUGAACAGUAUUUCAAUAUUAUUGAUAUUAUAACAUAUUAUAUUCCGUGUCAAUCUCAACGUUGACGUUGGCAAAAUCAUCGUUUUGGCGAACGGUGGAGCCAUGAAACUUAAAAAAAAAGGUUCAAUCAAUGCCUAAACAAAAUCAAAUUUAUUGACAUUCUUAUUAUAAUUACGAACGAUGAAAAGCCAUAACACAAGAAAAAUACCUAUAUAGGUGCUUUUUCACGGUUUGAUUGUAAUGUGUCGUGUUUUUUGUGUGUGAUUAAAAAACUUAAGUUAAAAAUAUCUUAGUUUUUUUUUACCGUUGCAAGCGUGUUGUUUCCUCCCUAGAACCUCCCGUAAAUAUGUUGCGAAAUUAUUAAUCGAACAGUGACAGGCAACAUUAAACCCCUUCCAUAAGACCCAAUUUGAUUAAAUUGGCAAUCAAAUUGGGUCGUGUGGACGGAAUAUGAAAUUCCGAUUCAAGAUUCGGGGUUGGACCCGCAACAAUACAGUACCAUUCGAAGACUGACGUCAUUCCUGGCCGGCCGACCACCCUAUGCAUGCAGCCUUCGUCCACAUCAACGGGAAGUACCUGCCUACCUACCAAAGCGAAAAUUGUGACGGCCUUACAACUCACGACCCAUGUUGUAUUUUUUUGCAUAAAAUUAACUGUUAGUUGAA